RNAcentral lists this ribosomal RNA (474 nucleotides) under uncultured bacterium. RNAcentral's name for it is "bacterial SSU rRNA". It matches the Rfam family "Bacterial small subunit ribosomal RNA", at positions 373 to 848 of the family's 1533-position model. The record is from RNAcentral.
GGUCGCAAGACUGACCCAGCCAUGCCGCGUGCAGGAAGACGGCCCUCUGGGUUGUAAACUGCUUUUAUCUGGGAAGAAAAAGUCCAUGCGUGGAAAAUUGCCGGUACCAGAUGAAUAAGCACCGGCUAACUCCGUGCCAGCAGCCGCGGUAAUACGGAGGGUGCAAGCGUUGUCCGGAUUUAUUGGGUUUAAAGGGUGCGUAGGCGGCUGAAUAAGUCAGCGGUGAAAGACUUCGGCUUAACCGGAGCAGUGCCGUUGAUACUGUUUAGCUUGAGUGUUGGAGGGGUACAUGGAAUUGAUGGUGUAGCGGUGAAAUGCAUAGAUACCAUCAGGAACACCGAUAGCGAAGGCAUUGUACUGGCCAACAACUGACGCUGAGGCANGAAAGUGUGGGGAUCGAACAGGAUUAGAUNCCCUGGUAGUCCACACUGUAAACGAUGAUUACUCGCUGUUAUGCUGUAUAGUGUAGCGGCC